RNAcentral lists this ribosomal RNA (553 nucleotides) under Microbacterium schleiferi. RNAcentral's name for it is "bacterial SSU rRNA". It matches the Rfam family "Bacterial small subunit ribosomal RNA", at positions 845 to 1399 of the family's 1533-position model. Lineage: Bacteria; Bacillati; Actinomycetota; Actinomycetes; Micrococcales; Microbacteriaceae. The record is from RNAcentral.
GACGCAGCUAACGCAUUAAGUUCCCCGCCUGGGGAGUACGGCCGCAAGGCUAAAACUCAAAGGAAUGACGGGGACCCGCACAAGCGGCGGAGCAUGCGGAUUAAUUCGAUGCAACGCGAAGAACCUUACCAAGGCUUGACAUAUACGAGAACGGGCCAGAAAUGGUCAACUCUUUGACACUCGUAAACAGGUGGUGCAUGGUUGUCGUCAGCUCGUGUCGUGAGAUGUUGGGUUAAGUCCCGCAACGAGCGCAACCCUCGUUCUAUGUUGCCAGCACGUAAUGGUGGGAACUCAUGGGAUACUGCCGGGGUCAACUCGGAGGAAGGUGGGGAGGACGUCAAAUCAUCAUGCCCCUUAUGUAUUGGGCUUCACGCCUGCUACAAUGGCCGGUACAAAGGGCUGCAAUACCGCAAGGUGGAGCGAAUCCCAAAAAGCCGGUCCCAGCUCGGAUUGAGGUCUGCAACUCGACCUCAUGAAGUAGGAGUCGCUAGUAAUCGCAGAUCAGCAACGCUGCGAAGAAUACGUUCCCGGGUCUUGUACACACCGCCCGUCA